Molecule: ribosomal RNA, 423 nt
Filed under: Triticum aestivum (bread wheat)
Lineage: Eukaryota; Viridiplantae; Streptophyta; Magnoliopsida; Poales; Poaceae
Description: partial small subunit ribosomal RNA
Source: RNAcentral
AUGGCUAAAUUUUGGUGGAGUGGAUCCCUUGAUCGACGUGCGAUGCAUUUGUUGGCAUGGGAUAAACUUGCAUCUUCAAAAGCCCAAGGAGGUAUGGAUUUUCGGGAUAUGAAAUUGUUUAACUUGGCGCUGCUCGGGAAACACGGAUGGAGAUUCAUUACCAAUCCGGAUUCGUCAUGCGCCAGGGUUAUAAAGGGCCGGUACUUUCCCGAUGGGGAUUUCUUGGAGGCCACGGUGCCGAAGACGACGUUUGCUAUUUGGCGCACAAUUGUCGCAGGCAGGAAGGCGCUCAAUGUUGGUCUAAUCAAAAGGGUUGGCGACGGGACUACUAUCUCAGUUUGGCAUGAUAAGUGGAUCCCAGGUUUGCAUACUUUAUCUCCUAUGAAUGUACCAGGAGGGAUGACGCUGGAAACUGUGGACUAG